GAUCGCUGUGAUGCGGGCGGUCCGCCGCUCGUGACUCUGCGAGAAGUCCAUUGAACCCUUAUCAUUUAGAGGAAGGAGAAGUCGUAACAAGGUUUCCGUAGGUGAACCUGCGGAAGGAUCAUUGUCGA
This 128-nucleotide ribosomal RNA is filed under the name Crepidium perakense. Its description in RNAcentral is "partial 18S ribosomal RNA". It matches the Rfam family "Eukaryotic small subunit ribosomal RNA", at positions 1713 to 1831 of the family's 1831-position model. Lineage: Eukaryota; Viridiplantae; Streptophyta; Magnoliopsida; Asparagales; Orchidaceae. The record is from RNAcentral.